AAUCCAUAUCCAAUCUAUCAAAUGCGGAUUUUUAAAUUUUCAAUCCAUAUCCAAUCCGCGGAUCCACGGAUCAGAUUUUCACGGAUCAGACAGAUUGAGCGGAUUGGAUUGGAUUCUGAACACCCCUAAUGCCCAACAACCAAUAAGAAAAACAAUCAACAUAUAUAAAAACAAUGUAAAUGGAAAAGGAAAUGGAGAAAAUUAGAAAAAAAUUUUAAAAAAACAAUAGCUAAAACAUAAAAAUAAACAAGAGGUUGUAAGUAAAAAUGCAAUAAAAUAAAAUAAAAAGAAAAAGAAAAACACCAAACGAAAGACACCAAUUGGAAAAGGAUUCUUCCUCUUCAAUCGGAAAAACACCCUUAUUUCGUUGGCGGCAUUAAGUUGUUGGGUUUGUGGUUCGGUGACUACGGAUUGGAGGCGGUUGCAGCAGCAGUAGUGGUGGUGAACUUCAAUGGCAGUGACCUAUAAAUAGGUAUAGUUCUAAAUACGGUGAGUAUAGUGGUGGUGGUAUACCUUGGUGAGAAAAAAAUGAAAAAAGAGUAGUGGUUGAAGAAGUAGCAGUGGAGUAUAGUAGAGAGAACUGAGGAAAUUAUAAGUUGAUAAUGCUAAUUUUUAAUUUUAUUUUGAAUUAGUUAAUUUUUUUUAAUUCAUCCGAUGUGUAAAAUUAGAAAUUUACAAACUAUUGAUUAUUAAUUGAUU
Molecule: long non-coding RNA, 699 nt
Filed under: Citrus x clementina
Lineage: Eukaryota; Viridiplantae; Streptophyta; Magnoliopsida; Sapindales; Rutaceae
Description: Citrus clementina (C. clementina) long non-coding RNA (CCLE_LNC002692)
Source: RNAcentral